Molecule: ribosomal RNA, 365 nt
Filed under: uncultured eukaryote
Lineage: Eukaryota
Description: partial 18S ribosomal RNA
Rfam family: Eukaryotic small subunit ribosomal RNA
Source: RNAcentral
CAAUAGCGUAUAUUAAAGUUGUUGCAGUUAAAAAGCUCGUAGUUGAAUUUCUGGCGGGCGCGCCGGUCUUCCAAGUGUUGUACUGGGCGCAGUCCGCCAUCCUUGUGGAGAGGGCUCGCAUUGAGUUGCGUGUCGGAUCUGCAUCAUUUACUGUGAAAAAAUUAGAGUGUUUAAAGCAGGCUGUCGCUUGAAUACAUUAGCAUGGAAUAAUGAGAUAGGACUUCGGUCUAUUUUGUUGGUUGCGAACCGAGGUAAUGAUUAAUAGGGAUAGUUGGGGGUAUUCAUAUUUAAUUGUCAGAGGUGAAAUUCUUGGAUUUAUGAAAGAUGAACAACUGCGAAAGCAUUUACCAAGGAUGUUUNCAUUA